Molecule: ribosomal RNA, 287 nt
Filed under: uncultured bacterium
Lineage: Bacteria
Description: partial 16S ribosomal RNA
Rfam family: Bacterial small subunit ribosomal RNA
Source: RNAcentral
GUGGAUUAGAUACCCUAGUCGUCCACGCCGUAAACGAUGAAUGCUAGGUGUGGGGGCGCAAGCUUCCGUGCCGGAGUUAACGCAAUAAGCAUUCCACCUGGGGAGUACGGCCGCAAGGUUGAAACUCAAAGGAAUUGACGGGAGCCCGCACAAGCAGUGGAGUAUGUGGUUUAAUUCGACGCAACGCGAAGAACCUUACCAGGUCAUGACAUCCCGAGAAUCCGACGUAAUGGUUGGAGUGCCCUUCGGGGAAUUCGGUGACAGGUGGUGCAUGGUCGUCGCCAGCU